RNAcentral lists this unclassified non-coding RNA (622 nucleotides) under Microsporum canis. RNAcentral's name for it is "partial contains ITS1, 5.8S rRNA and ITS2". The record is from RNAcentral. Lineage: Eukaryota; Fungi; Ascomycota; Eurotiomycetes; Onygenales; Arthrodermataceae.
CCCUUCGCCCCGUUAACUUUCCUGUUUCCUUGCUUCCCUCCCGGGUUCCUUCCGGGCCGUCAGCGGUGCCUCCCUGCCGCGCUAUUUAAAACUCACGGUAAUUACUGCUCUGUCUGACCAACUUUUAAUAACUUAAAACUUCGAUCAGCGGGUCCCCCGGUUCUGGCCUCUUGGAACAACGCCCCGGCCUGCGGCAAGUAUUGUGAAUUGCUUACUUUAGUGAACACACUCUUCUUUGACAUCCCAUUGCGCCCAUUAACAUUCUUCUGUUCAUACUUGUAACAGCGUAUCUUUUGCUUUCAGCCUCUGUUUGGAGUUGGGGCGUCUGCAAUAAGUAAUUUGAAUGCAGAAAAACAGUGGCGAUCUCAUCUUACUCCCACCUUGCUCCCGUGCCUUUCUUUGGAGGUUCCCGGUUCCGCGUCAUUUCACCCCCUAUCCUGACUGUGUGUGAUGGACUACCGUAGGAAUACCCGCUUAACUUCCCCCUAUUUAUGGCGGGGGAGGGAGGGGGACGCGCCCGAAAAGCAGUGGUCAGGCCCGCGAUUCCCGGCUCCUGGGCGAAUGGGACAUACCACCGCCUCCAGGACCGGCCGGCAGGCUGGCCUAACGCACCAUGUAUUAU